AGCAGUUAUGUCUGUUUUUAAUUUGUGGACAAAGAGUUACAGAUAGGUGCAAAAUUAAAUCCUUUUUUGCAACCCAGAAUUCAUUAUGGGUUCAGUAUGAGUUUUGAUACAGAUAAAAAGGAACAAU
This 127-nucleotide small nucleolar RNA is filed under the name Moschus moschiferus (Siberian musk deer). RNAcentral's name for it is "Small nucleolar RNA SNORA40 (ENSMMSG00000012666.1)". It matches the Rfam family "Small nucleolar RNA SNORA40". From Rfam's summary of the family: The snoRNA ACA 40 belongs to the H/ACA family of snoRNAs and guides the pseudouridylation of 28S rRNA subunit at position U4565. Lineage: Eukaryota; Metazoa; Chordata; Mammalia; Artiodactyla; Moschidae. The record is from Rfam by way of RNAcentral.